Molecule: long non-coding RNA, 640 nt
Organism: Osmia bicornis bicornis
Lineage: Eukaryota; Metazoa; Arthropoda; Insecta; Hymenoptera; Megachilidae
Exons: 2
Source: RefSeq, a predicted model, not a curated record
CAACAGGCCGGCAAAUCACUGAAUAAUACACUCCGAAUCCGCGUGACGCGCUGACAGUCGGUGGCGUCGUCGACUCGACGCCAUCAAGAUAUUCGUAUAUUUAGUUAUUUUUCAAAGAUACAAUUAAUAAUUACAUUCACACAAACGAUACAGCUAUUCUAACGAACGAUUAUCGGAAUGAAUUUUAAUAUAAUGCGGAAAUUGUCUGUAAAAAUACACGGAAGAAACAACGCUUUGUCCGAAAAGAUCUGUAAGCACGCGCGCAUCAGGAUGAUAAUGGAGUCUGGGUCCUUGAAAACUGAAAUCGUACCCUUUGAAGAAAUCUGGAAUGAAUUCCCCUCCACGAAAGUGUCCUUUGUGUGAGAGUGGGAAAGAAUGAAGAGGGGAUAAUGGCGGCGAUCUACCUGGACGAUUUUUGUGGCGGGAAUUACGGUGCCUCGACAAGAUCCUAUACACAACAACGCUUUACCUCAGGAUCAGAAACCACCUGUCGGGAAAUAGCAUCAGAAAUUUCACUGGUACCGUAACUGUUCGACAUCAAUAGCAAGUGUAACAGAUAACAUAAUAUUUUGCUUUGUGACAGAAUUUGUUAAUAAUAAUAUUGUAAUCAUAUUAAAGCUUUUAUUUGUUUGGAAAAAUA